ACCUGUCGCUAGGGGGACCCCUUUGUGGGUUGAGAGUGACUGAUUGUCUGACCCUCACUACUUGAUCCGGUUAAUACCGGCGUAAGGAAGCAUUCUAUUGACAGC
Molecule: non-coding RNA, 105 nt
Filed under: Firmicutes bacterium CAG:882
Lineage: Bacteria; Bacillati; Bacillota
Also listed under: 1 other name
Description: TPP riboswitch aptamer (THI element)
Rfam family: TPP riboswitch aptamer (THI element)
About the family: Vitamin B(1) in its active form thiamin pyrophosphate (TPP) is an essential coenzyme that is synthesised by coupling of pyrimidine and thiazole moieties in bacteria.
Source: Rfam by way of RNAcentral